UACGUAGGGGGCAAGCGUUGUCCGGAAUCAUUGGGCGUAAAGAGCGUGUAGGCGGACUGGAAGGUCUGGUGUGAAAGCCCGGGGCUCAACCCGGAGGUCACUGGAAACCAACAGUCUUGAGUCCGGAAGAGGAGAGUGGAAUUCCUGGUGUAGCGGUGAAAUGCGCAGAUAUCAGGAGGAACACCCAUUGCGAAGGCAGCUCGCUGGGACGUUACUGACGCU
RNAcentral lists this ribosomal RNA (222 nucleotides) under uncultured bacterium. Its description in RNAcentral is "partial 16S ribosomal RNA". It matches the Rfam family "Bacterial small subunit ribosomal RNA", at positions 524 to 747 of the family's 1533-position model. The record is from RNAcentral.